RNAcentral lists this long non-coding RNA (623 nucleotides) under Capsella grandiflora. RNAcentral's name for it is "long non-coding RNA (CGRA_LNC001520)". Lineage: Eukaryota; Viridiplantae; Streptophyta; Magnoliopsida; Brassicales; Brassicaceae. The record is from RNAcentral.
GAUGUCCCAUUCUCGUAAAGGCUAGGCAGAAUUGCUGUUGGGUUAACUCUAGACGGACUCAUAGGCCAAGGUAUGUGUUCCUCCAUAUUCAUUGAUCCACCUAGAUUCUGGUCUUCUCUAGAUGGGUCCGUGUAAGAGACGUGGGGUAUAGUUUCAUCCUCAGUUAUUGUGUCCGUAAAUGUUUGCAUGUGCCUAGCAGAAUCAUCUGGUAAACUGGCAGACUCGUCUUCCUCGUAAGACUUUGUAAAUGAAUUGUCUUCGCUCGUAGAAUUUGAGCACUUUCUCUGCAUAGACAUCAUCUUUUAUUUCUGAUAUCUGCCAAAACACUAAAGAAACCAAGAAAUAAAAGAUUAGAGAUACCUGCACCGGUUUUGUAAGAGAAGAAUCUGCAAGUAUGGGCUGGAUAGUUUGUGGUUCGUCUGUCCUUCUAACUUGUGAAGCGUGUUUUCUUGUUUUAUAGCGCAUUUGAAGGUUGAUUUCCUUACUGGGAGGGUAUUUUGGUAGACAAGAUGGAUCGCAAGGCAAUGGCUCAGUUUCAAAGUACUGUUUCACGGUGGAAGAAGAUAAUCAGUUGGAGUCAUAAGAACAAACCAGCAAUUAACAGAGGAAAAUGAAAAGAUCCC